Molecule: long non-coding RNA, 430 nt
Organism: Perca fluviatilis (European perch)
Lineage: Eukaryota; Metazoa; Chordata; Actinopteri; Perciformes; Percidae
Exons: 3
Source: RefSeq, a predicted model, not a curated record
AAAUCCCAUGAAGAAGAGCUGUGGCGGCCAUAGCAGUAGAAGUAGAGCCAGGACAGGACAGCGGCAUGGCUGACCAUCAGGAGGCACAGUUACAAAACGCUGCCAGGCGGGUGGUAGCCUUGUUAAGGAGUGCCCUGGAUAAUGAAGCUGAACCAUCUUCACAAAACCUCUCCCAGGCCUAUUCAAAUGUGGAAAAGACUUCAGGAUGGACCAGGGAGACAGAUGCAAACAGCGGACGAGCUUGAGAGAGAUUGAAAAACAGGAGAGGACUGUCAUUUGCCUACUGGACAGGCCCAUCACCUCAACAGGGAGAUGGAUUUAUGCUUCAAAUUGAAUUUGACCAUCAUUGUGGAGCGCACUAUGGUAGCAACAUCACAUGUGCAUCAUUCGUGUUUUCAAGAUUAGAAUACUCCGGUGCUCAAAGUGAGAA